CCCCGCGGCGGUCUGGCGCCCCGCACUCCCAUUCUCCUCGCCAGCUGCGAAAAUUUUAAACAUAGAGAAAGAACAGUAUAACAAAUCUUCAAGAACCCAUCACCCAGCCAGCAUAAACAAUUACCAGCAACCAAUAUUUAUUGCCAUAUGUUGGGUUUUCGGAAAAGAAACCUGAGAUUUUCAAAGGUUGGGUAAUUUGCCCAAGGUCACAAGGCUUGGAAGCACGGAGCAGGCCAGCUGGACUCCAAAAGCCAUGCCUUUGGCAUUUUUGGAUUUCUGCUAGGGAUGAAAUAAAGAGGAUUUACACACCAGUGGA
This is a long non-coding RNA of Neomonachus schauinslandi (Hawaiian monk seal), 316 nucleotides long. RefSeq lists it as uncharacterized. The transcript has 3 exons. The record is from RefSeq and is a predicted model, not a curated record. Lineage: Eukaryota; Metazoa; Chordata; Mammalia; Carnivora; Phocidae.